Long non-coding RNA from Tupaia belangeri chinensis (Chinese tree shrew), 1188 nucleotides. RefSeq lists it as uncharacterized. The transcript has 3 exons. The record is from RefSeq and is a predicted model, not a curated record. NCBI's taxonomy places the organism in Eukaryota, Metazoa, Chordata, Mammalia, Scandentia, Tupaiidae.
GUCGGGGAAGAGCUGGGGGAGGAUGAGCGUCAGGAACCGAGAAAGUCGCAAAGCCUGAGCCUGGGCUCCCUGCGUUGGGGGGAGUGGGUGGGGUUAAAGGAUAGUUGCCCUAUGGUCACGUCUACUCCGACUGGUUGUGUUGCAUUUAAGUGUUUCUUCUUUAAUUAGAAGAACGCUGUGAGGAUUUCUCUUCGGGCUCUGGAGGUUCCAGUGGCCUGCAAGGCUCUUGUCCUAGGGACAAACGCGUAGAACUCGGGACCACCUCCCUCUGGAACUUGGGCCCAGGGCGGCAAGGAGGGGGCACCACUAGUGCUGCCCAAAUACCCCCCCCUCAUUUCUUUGCUCAAAACCCCUUUAGCCAACUCAGACAAAUGCCUCAUCAAUUGUCCGUUAAGAUUCGAUCACUUUCAUGGAUAUGCCAGGCUAAGGUUGAGGGGUGGGAGGGGAGACAAGGCUUGUUUUUGCCAAGGUAGGCAGUGGCGUCUCUUCCUGGCGAUGGACAUCUGCCUGCGGGCGGAGAGUGCUCCUCCUGGGCCCUGCUGGCUUCCUCCUCUUCCCACAAUUGGGAAAUUGUGAGGAGGUUACUCAAUUUUUGGGGAAAAGGGGCUUAUUCACUGAGGAAAGGGUAUGGAUGAAGUCGGCCUACCCAAGAGGGCCCCUGGGGGGCAGUAGGCCCGGCACAGCUCAGUUUCCCGUCUGGUUGGGUAUUUUAAUGUCUGGAGGUGCAACCGACAGAAAUAGACAUUCACAGAGCAAGCGGAUGGGGAAAUGAAUACCAAGAGCCGGCGGCAUUUGGGAACAUCGCGGCGUCCUUACUUCCCGCUCGGGUACCUGCUUCGUGAUUCCUGCCAAGAGGAGACACCAUGGAAGGGCAGAGUCACGCUAACUCGGCUUUUACUGGGGCUGUUUUAGGGUUGGUCUUGAAUGAAGCUAAGCGAGAGGACUAGAGAAGAACAAGCACUAAUCAAGUAACUACUGAUGACGAAGUGAUUAGGAUCUGUUGGAACCUCACCAGUCACUUCAGAGUGCCGGAGAUGCAUUUUCAGAGCCAUUUCUACUUUUGGGGAAGAAGUGUUCUCUGAUGUAAUCUCAUCCUUGAAAAAAAUCUGUGCCUGAAAAAAAAAAAGGCAUUUGCAAUACCCAGAAGUCCCAGUAGAUGGCACUGAGGAGACUUGUGGGGAAGCUUGG